RNAcentral lists this ribosomal RNA (253 nucleotides) under uncultured bacterium. RNAcentral describes it as "partial 16S ribosomal RNA". It matches the Rfam family "Bacterial small subunit ribosomal RNA", at positions 524 to 776 of the family's 1533-position model. The record is from RNAcentral.
UACGGAGGGUGCAAGCGUUAUCCGGAUUCACUGGGUUUAAAGGGUGCGUAGGCGGCUUGUUAAGUCAGGAGUGAAAGUUUGCGGCUCAACCGUAAAAUUGCUUUUGAUACUGGCAGGCUAGAAUUAGGAUGAGGUUAGCGGAAUGUGGCAUGUAGCGGUGAAAUGCAUAGAUAUGCCAUAGAACACCAAUUGCGAAGGCAGCUGGCUAGACCUAUAUUGACGCUGAGGCACGAAAGCGUGGGGAGCGAACAGG